Molecule: long non-coding RNA, 876 nt
Organism: Leopardus geoffroyi (Geoffroy's cat)
Lineage: Eukaryota; Metazoa; Chordata; Mammalia; Carnivora; Felidae
Exons: 3
Source: RefSeq, a predicted model, not a curated record
GCCCAUCUAGGUUUAUCAGGUAUAACGAAUGUUCCACCCCGGGGUGGGGAGGGGGGCAGGCUGUGCAUGUGUGGAACCAGGAACGGAUGGGAAAUCUCUGUACGUUCUGCUCAUUUUUGCCAUGGACCCAAAAACGCUCUAACACAUGAAGUCUGUUCAAAACAAAAAAAUCUAAAAGAAAUGACACAUUAAAAAUGUUUCAGCUAAUGAAGAACAUGAACGAAAGAAAUUAAGUAUCAGACGUGAUAUAGCACCCAUGUGUCUACACAGUAACUUUUGGUAAUUUAAAAGGCAGAGUUAGUGAAGGUGAAAUGGAGACACCCAUCAGUUGAUUCUGAUUUUUGUGAACAGGUCUGGUAAAAAGUGGGAUUAAAAAAGAUGUUGAAUACAAGUAAUAAAAUGAAGUUUGAGUUUACUGUAUUUGUGCAUUUAUCACUAUGUCAAGGAGAGCCCAAGUGCAUAACUGAGAUUUAUCCAAAGACCAGCAGAAACUUAUCAAUAACUAAUUAAGACCUAAAAGAAAUGUGCACUGUUUCAGGAUAUCUGCUCAAUGUUUUAGGAUCCCUCCCUUAAGAGGCUUACGAUUGUAACCAGGAAAACAAGUGCACUGCUCACAAUAGUAAAAAGGAAGGAGAGGGCUCUAAAAAUUGCUGGGCAAUUUCAAAGAAGAGAAGAUGACUGUGAAAGUAGAUGACGAGACUGUCGAAGGAACAGCUCCUGGAAUCUAGACUCUUCUCCAUUACUUCUUAGCUCUUGUCUCUGGUUGUGAUUUGGCUCAGCAGAAGAUGGACGAAGACCCUAUCAAUCGAAUGAAAUAAUUUUAUUUUAUUUUUAUUAAAAAAAAUUUUUUAACGUUUAUUUAUUUUUGAGACAGAG